RNAcentral lists this microRNA precursor (56 nucleotides) under Bovine foamy virus. RNAcentral's name for it is "miR-BF1 stem-loop (bfv-miR-BF1)". Its record names the gene bfv-miR-BF1. Lineage: Riboviria; Pararnavirae; Artverviricota; Revtraviricetes; Ortervirales; Retroviridae. The record is from miRBase by way of RNAcentral.
UUCGGAGGAUGGCUCAUCAAGCUAAGUAAGGAGCUCCCUGAAGCCAUAUCCGAGGC